Molecule: long non-coding RNA, 963 nt
Organism: Colossoma macropomum (tambaqui)
Lineage: Eukaryota; Metazoa; Chordata; Actinopteri; Characiformes; Serrasalmidae
Exons: 3
Source: RefSeq, a predicted model, not a curated record
GGUGAACUACUUUUAUUUAUUAUUCCGCAGAACAGCUCUGUAGAGUUUUAGUUGGGAAAAAGGGAUCAUUGUGUUUCAUCAUUGUGCCCCUUGUGUUUCAGGAGGAUCAAAUGAUAGACUAUAGCUUGCGUAGAGCUAGGCUGUUUCAGUGGUUUUACAGAGUAAACUCUACCGCACACCCAGGGCCAGAUUAAGAUCUUUGGGCGCCCCAGGUCACCAAGGUUACCCAUAUGGUAGAUCUGUGCACACUAGUGGAGUAGCACAUAGCACACAAGCUCAAGUCGAAACUUAGCUGAAGUUCAGAGAGCUUACUGUCUUACUGUACUCAUAUAGGUUUAAUGGAAUAAAACCUUUCAGUGAAUUUAUUGCUUUUGGUAUCAGCUGUAUAACUUCUUGCAAAUCAGUCUUCUUGCAGUUUUCUGCUUUACUAGGUAAAAUGUUAUGACGUGAGUUGGCUAGUCACAGAAGCUGAGGUGAAAACAGACGAAUAGCACUUUAGACUGACUGAAUUCUUGGUGUAAAUUUCACACUAUAUGUGACCUAUUAUGGCCCUUCAUAGUCUGGUUUUGGAACUGCUGUAAUAGAGAGGUAAUGAGUGACACUGAGAAAGUGAGCAGUGCUCAAAGUCUAAGUCAGGAGAGAACUCAGUUAUGCUGUGUUGCGUUAUACUUUGGCAUCUCACCACUGGCUUGUGCUGCCGUGGGAGCAUGGGAGGUGUGGCCAUGCAGAGCGGCCACACAGAGAGGCCCUCGGGAGGCACCAUACUUGCGUGUGUCCAGUGCAAAAGAGGAGAGAGAGACAAUCACAACCAUAUGAAGCGAGGUGUACGGGAGGAUACCCCUCUCUCCGCUCUGACUCACCCGUCUGCCGCCGUUUCCAGAACAUUGCAGUUAUGCUAACAAAACUGCAAACCUGCAAAGGAAGACAACUCAACACUGAGUCUGAAAGGAUGUGUAGCUGUCG